AACUAAAGCGGGCGAUUGGAAGUGCCCGUCUAAGCAGUGAGGUGUGAUAUGAGUCAAAUGCUUGUAUCUGUAACAUUGAGCUGUGAUGGGGAGCGAAGUUAAGGAGCGAAGUUAGUGACGUCACACUGCCGAGAAAAGCUUCUAGCGAUGUAUCAUACUCUACCCGUACCACAAACCGACACAGGUAGUCGAGGCGAGUAGCCUCAGGUGAGCGAGAGAACUCUCGUUAAGGAACUCGGCAAAAUGACCCCGUAACUUCGGGAGAAGGGGUGCUGGCUUAAAGUCAGCCGCAGUGAAUAGGCCCAAGCAACUGUUUAUCAAAAACACA
Molecule: ribosomal RNA, 328 nt
Filed under: Escherichia coli
Lineage: Bacteria; Pseudomonadati; Pseudomonadota; Gammaproteobacteria; Enterobacterales; Enterobacteriaceae
Description: bacterial LSU rRNA
Rfam family: Bacterial large subunit ribosomal RNA
Source: RNAcentral